GCUCAGGACUGAACUGUGGUUCUGACAGCAGACUCAUAAUCUCAGAGUCGUGGGUUCAAACCCCAUGUUGGGCA
Non-coding RNA from Podarcis lilfordi (Lilford's wall lizard), 74 nucleotides. Lineage: Eukaryota; Metazoa; Chordata; Lepidosauria; Squamata; Lacertidae. The record is from the annotation of a GenBank genome assembly.